CAAGAAGAGCCUGAGCCAC
Molecule: small nuclear RNA, 19 nt
Filed under: Arabidopsis thaliana (thale cress)
Lineage: Eukaryota; Viridiplantae; Streptophyta; Magnoliopsida; Brassicales; Brassicaceae
Description: snRNA_00942
Source: RNAcentral